This 367-nucleotide ribosomal RNA is filed under the name uncultured bacterium. Its description in RNAcentral is "bacterial SSU rRNA". It matches the Rfam family "Bacterial small subunit ribosomal RNA", at positions 606 to 975 of the family's 1533-position model. The record is from RNAcentral.
GGCUUAACCUGGGAUGGCAGUGGAAACUAGGGGACUUGAAUCUGGCAGAGGGGGGUGGAAUGCCACGUGUAGCAGUGAAAUGCGUAGAGAUGUGGCGGAACACCGAUGGCGAAGCAGCCCCCUGGGCUGAGAUUGACGCUCAGGCACGAAAGCGUGGGGAGCAAACAGGAUUAGAUACCCUGGUAGUCCACGCCCUAAACGAUGAUCACUAGGUGUUGGGGAAGCGAUUUCUCAGUACCGCAGCUAACGCGUGAAGUGAUCCGCCUGGGGAGUACGGUCGCAAGAUUAAAACUCAAAGGAAUUGACGGGGACCCGCACAAGCGGUGGAUGAUGUGGAUUAAUUCGAUGCAACGCGAAUAACCUUACC